RNAcentral lists this ribosomal RNA (1254 nucleotides) under metagenome. RNAcentral's name for it is "bacterial SSU rRNA". It matches the Rfam family "Bacterial small subunit ribosomal RNA", at positions 8 to 1258 of the family's 1533-position model. The record is from RNAcentral.
AGAGUUUGAUCCUGGCUCAGAUUGGACGCUGGCGGUAUGCUUUACACAUGCAAGUCGAACGGAUUAAGAAGCUUGCUUCUUAGUUAGUGGCGAACGGGUGAGUAAUAUAUCGGAACAUAUCCGGAAGUGGGGGAUAACGUAGCGAAAGUUACGCCAAUACCGCAUAUGCCCUGAGGGGGAAAGGGGGGGAUCGCAAGACCUCUCGCUUUCGGAGUGGCCGAUAUCGGAUUAGCUAGUAGGUGAGGUAAAGGCUCACCUAGGCGACGAUCCGUAGCUGGUCUGAGAGGACGACCAGCCACACUGGAACUGAGACACGGUCCAGACUCCUACGGGGGGCAGCAGUGGGGAAUUUUGGACAAUGGGCGAAAGCCUGAUCCAGCCAUACCGCGUGAGUGAAGAAGGCCUUCGGGUUGUAAAGCUCUUUCAGACGGAAAGAAAAGGUUUCGGAUAACACCUGGAACUGAUGACGGUACCGUAAGAAGAAGCACCGGCUAACUACGUGCCAGCAGCCGCGGUAAUACGUAGGGUGCGAGCGUUAAUCGGAAUUACUGGGCGUAAAGCGUGCGCAGGCGGUUUUUUAAGCCAGAUGUGAAAUCCCCGGGCUCAACCUGGGAACUGCAUUUGGAACUGGAAGACUAGAGUAUAGCAGAGGGAGGUAGAAUUCCACGUGUAGCAGUGAAAUGCGUAGAUAUGUGGAGGAAUACCGAUGGCGAAGGCAGCCUCCUGGGUUAAUACUGACGCUCAUGCACGAAAGCGUGGGGAGCAAACAGGAUUAGAUACCCUGGUAGUCCACGCCCUAAACGAUGUCAACUAGGUGUUGGGGGAGGAGACUUCCUUAGUACCGUAGCUAACGCGUGAAGUUGACCGCCUGGGGAGUACGGUCGCAAGAUUAAAACUCAAAGGAAUUGACGGGGACCCGCACAAGCGGUGGAUUAUGUGGAUUAAUUCGAUACAACGCGAAAAACCUUACCUACCCUUGACAUGCCAAGAAGUUUCCAGAGAUGGAUUCGUGCUCGAAAGAGAGCUUGGACACAGGUGCUGCAUGGCUGUCGUCAGCUCGUGUCGUGAGAUGUUGGGUUAAGUCCCGCAACGAGCGCAACCCUUGUCAUUAAUUGCCAUCAUUUAGUUGGGCACUUUAAUGAGACUGCCGGUGAUAAACCGGAGGAAGGUGGGGAUGACGUCAAGUCCUCAUUGCCCUUAUGGGUAGGGCUUCACACGUAAUACAAUGGUCGGUACAGAGGGUUGCCAACCCGC